This 73-nucleotide transfer RNA is filed under the name Schistocerca americana (American grasshopper). RNAcentral describes it as "tRNA-Met". It matches the Rfam family "tRNA". From Rfam's summary of the family: Transfer RNA (tRNA) molecules are approximately 80 nucleotides in length. Their secondary structure includes four short double-helical elements and three loops (D, anti-codon, and T loops). Further hydrogen bonds mediate the characteristic L-shaped molecular structure. tRNAs have two regions of fundamental functional importance: the anti-codon, which is responsible for specific mRNA codon recognition, and the 3' end, to which the tRNAs corresponding amino acid is attached (by aminoacyl-tRNA synthetases). tRNAs cope with the degeneracy of the genetic code in two manners: having more than one tRNA (with a specific anti-codon) for a particular amino acid; and 'wobble' base-pairing, i.e. permitting non-standard base-pairing at the 3rd anti-codon position. Lineage: Eukaryota; Metazoa; Arthropoda; Insecta; Orthoptera; Acrididae. The record is from RNAcentral.
GCCUCGGUAGCGCAGUAGGCAGCGCGUAAGUCGCAUAAUCUUAAGGUCGUGAGUUCGAUCCUCACCCGGGGCA